AAAACGACUCUCGGCAACGGAUAUCUCGGCUCUCGCAUCGAUGAAGAACGUAGCGAAAUGCGAUACUUGGUGUGAAUUGCAGAAUCCCGUGAACCAUCGAGUCUUUGAACGCAAGUUGCGCCCGAAGCCGUCAGGUCGAAGGGCACGUCUGCCUGGGCGUCACGC
RNAcentral lists this ribosomal RNA (165 nucleotides) under Dolicholobium macgregorii. Its description in RNAcentral is "5.8S ribosomal RNA". It matches the Rfam family "5.8S ribosomal RNA". From Rfam's summary of the family: 5.8S ribosomal RNA (5.8S rRNA) is a component of the large subunit of the eukaryotic ribosome. It is transcribed by RNA polymerase I as part of the 45S precursor that also contains 18S and 28S rRNA. Functionally, it is thought that 5.8S rRNA may be involved in ribosome translocation. RNAcentral also lists the same sequence under 1 other name. The record is from RNAcentral. Lineage: Eukaryota; Viridiplantae; Streptophyta; Magnoliopsida; Gentianales; Rubiaceae.